UAGCCUAGUGGUUAGAGUGUAGAGGCGGCAGGGUAGCCUAGUGGUUAGAGUGUAGAGGCGGCAGGGUAGCCUAGUGGUUAGAGUGUAGAGGCGGCAGGGUAGCCUAGUGGUUAGAGUGUAGAGGCGGCAGGGUAGCCUAGUGGUUAGAGUGUAGAGGCGGCAGGGUAGCCUAGUGGUUAGAGUGUAGAGGCGGCAGGGUAGCCUAGUGGUUAGAGUGUAGAGGCGGCAGGGUAGCCUAGUGGUUAGAGUGUAGAGGCGGCAGGGUAGCCUAGUGGUUAGAGUGUAGAGGCGGCAGGGUAGCCUAGUGGUUAGAGUGUAGAGGCGGCAGGGUAGCCUAGUGGUUAGAGUGUAGAGGCGGCAGGGUAGCCUAGUGGUUAGAGUGUAGGGCGGCAGCGUAGCCUAGUGGUUAGAGUGUAGAGGCGGCAGGGUAGCCUAGUGGUUAGAGUGUAGAGGCGGCAGGGUAGCCUAGUGGUUAGAGUGUAGAGGCGGCAGGGUAGCCUAGUGGUUAGAGUGUAGAGGCGGCAGGGUAGCCUAGUGGUUAGAGUGUAGAGGCGGCAGGGUAGCCUAGUGGUUAGAGUGUAGAGGCGGCAGGGUAGCCUAGUGGUUAGAGUGUAGAGGCGGCAGGGUAGCCUAGUGGUUAGAGUGUAGAGGCGGCAGGGUAGCCUAGUGGUUAGAGUGUAGAGGCGGCAGGGUAGCCUAGUGGUUAGAGUGUAGAGGCGGCAGGGUAGCCUAGUGGUUAGAGUGUAGAGGCGGCAGGGUAGCCUAGUGGUUAGAGUGUAGAGGCGGCAGGGUAGCCUAGUGGUUAGAGUGUAGAGGCGGCAGGGUAGCCUAGUGGUUAGAGUGUAGAGGCGGCAGGGUAGCCUAGUGGUUAGAGUGUAGAGGCGGCAGGGUAGCCUAGUGGUUAGAGUGUAGAGGCGGCAGGGUAGCCUAGUGGUUAGAGUGUAGAGGCGGCAGGGUAGCCUAGUGGUUAGAGUGUAGAGGCGGCAGGGUAGCCUAGUGGUUAGAGUGUAGAGGCGGCAGCGUAGCCUAGUGGUUAGAGUGUAGAGGCGGCAGCGUAGCCUAGUGGUUAGAGUGUAGAGGCGGCAGCGUAGCCUAGUGGUUAGAGUGUAGAGGCGGCAGCGUAGCCUAGUGGUUAGAGUGUAGAGGCGGCAGGGUAGCCUAGUGGUUAGAGUGUAGAGGCGGCAGGGUAGCCUAGUGGUUAGAGUGUAGAGGCGGCAGGGUAGCCUAGUGGUUAGAGUGUAGAGGCGGCAGGGUAGCCUAGUGGUUAGAGUGUAGAGGCGGCAGGGUAGCCUAGUGGUUAGAGUGUAGAGGCGGCAGGGUGGCCUAGUGGUUAGAGUGUAGAGGCGGCAGGGUGGCCUAGUGGUUAGAGUGUAGAGGCGGCAGGGUGGCCUAGUGGUUAGAGUGUAGAGGCGGCAGGGUGGCCUAGUGGUUAGAGUGUAGAGGCGGCAGGGUGGCCUAGUGGUUAGAGUGUAGAGGCGGCAGGGUGGCCUAGUGGUUAGAGUGUAGAGGCGGCAGGGUGGCCUAGUGGUUAGAGUGUAGAGGCGGCAGGGUGGCCUAGUGGUUAGAGUGUAGAGGCGGCAGGGUGGCCUAGUGGUUAGAGUGUAGAGGCGGCAGCGUAGCCUAGUGGGUAGAGUGUAGAGGCGGCAGCGUAGCCUAGUGGGUAGAGUGUAGAGGCGGCAGCGUAGCCUAGUGGGUAGAGCGUUGGGACUAGUAACCGGAAGGUUGCGAGUUCAAACCCCCGAGCUGACAAGGUACAAAUCUGUCGUUCUGCCCCUGAACAGGCAGUUAACCCACUGUUCCCAGGCCGUCAUUGAAAAUAAGAAUGUGUUCUUAACUGACUUGCCUGGUUAAAUAAACAAAAAAAAAUAAAAAAUUAAAAACAUUUCUGAUCGUUAUGUUUGAUGUAGAGUUACAAGGUGACUUGGCAGAAUGGCAGUUUGUUUAUUGUGAAGAAAAAAAUCGCUGCGUCACACAAGACAUGAAUGACUCCUCUCCGUCUGCUCAAAUUACUAUCCGUUUGUCUGAGUUGCCUUGUGUAAGUCUGACACUGCAAUAUCAUAUUUUAUAACUUCCCUAGCCAUGUCGGGCAGUAGAACAGGCUUUCAGUUCAAGCCCACCUGACCCAGGUUGAGAUUCAUCAUGGACCGUUUCUGGACUGGGUGAAACGACAACAGUCAUUGUGUGACUGUGGGGAUGCAGGGUUGUGUUCCAAGACGAAACAACUACAAGUGUCCUCUAGUUCCUCACAGCUGGGAGAGGAGGAAAAACCCCUGAUAGCUGAAGACUGUUCGUUGAGUCAUAAAAGUGCAUUGAGAUGUCUUGUGAACUGUGGAGAGGUGUGUUGCCACUUGGAGACACCCCAGGUAGUCUUCUCACUCGGACCCUUGUAAUCGUUUUGUCUUAUGAACUCUGAACUCUGGAGAUGUGUGUUGCCACUUGGAGACACCCCAGGUAGUCUUCUCACUCAGACCCUUGUAAUCGUUUUGUCUUAUGAACUCUGAACUCUGAACUCUGGAGAGGUGUGUUGCCACUUGGAGACACCCCAGGUAGUCUUCUCACUCAGACUCUUGUAAUAGUUUUGUCUUGUGUUUCAUCUACCCCAGGUAGUCUUGUAAUCGUCUUGUCUUGUGUUUCAUCUACCCCAGGUAGUCUUGUAAUCGUUUUGUCUUGUGUUUCAUCUACCCCAGGUAGUCUUGUAAUCGUCUUGUCUUGUGUUUCAUCUACCCCAGGUAGUCUUGUAAUCGUUUUGUCUUGUGUUUCAUCUACCCCAGGUAGUCUUGUAAUCGUCUUGUCUUGUGUUUCAUCUACCCCAGGUAGUCUUGUAAUCGUUUUGUCUUGUGUUUCAUCUACCCCAGGUAGUCUUGUAAUCGUCUUGUCUUGUGUUUCAUCUACCCCAGGUAGUCUUGUAAUCGUCUUGUCUUGUGUUUCAUCUACCCCAGGUCGUCUUGUAAUCGUUUUGUCUUGUGUUUCAUCUACCCCAGGUAGUCUUGUAAUCGUCUUGUCUUGUGUUUCAUCUACCCCAGGUAGUCUUGUAAUCGUUUUGUCUUGUGUUUCAUCUACCCCAGGUAGUCUUGUAAUAGUCUUGUCUUGUGUUUCAUCUACCCCAGGUAGUCUUGUAAUCGUUUUGUCUUGUGUUUCAUCUACCCCAGGUAGUCUUGUAAUAGUUUUGUCUUGUGUUUCAUCUACCCCAGGUAGUCUUGUAAUCGUUUUGUCUUGUGUUUCAUCUACCCCAGGUAGUCUUGUAAUAGUUUUGUCUUGUGUUUCAUCUACCCCAGGUAGUCUUGUAAUAGUUUUGUCUUGUGUUUCAUCUACCCCAGGUAGUCUUGUAAUC
This is a long non-coding RNA of Oncorhynchus keta (chum salmon), 3331 nucleotides long. RefSeq lists it as uncharacterized. Lineage: Eukaryota; Metazoa; Chordata; Actinopteri; Salmoniformes; Salmonidae. The transcript has 3 exons. The record is from RefSeq and is a predicted model, not a curated record.